RNAcentral lists this ribosomal RNA (483 nucleotides) under uncultured bacterium. RNAcentral describes it as "partial 16S ribosomal RNA". It matches the Rfam family "Bacterial small subunit ribosomal RNA", at positions 30 to 506 of the family's 1533-position model. The record is from RNAcentral.
AUUGAACGCUGGCGGCAGGCCUAACACAUGCAAGUCGAGCGGAUGAAGGGAGCUUGCUCCUGGAUUCAGCGGCGGACGGGUGAGUAAUGCCUAGGAAUCUGCCUGGUAGUGGGGGAUAACGUCCGGAAACGGGCGCUAAUACCGCAUACGUCCUGAGGGAGAAAGUGGGGGAUCUUCGGACCUCACGCUAUCAGAUGAGCCUAGGUCGGAUUAGCUAGUUGGUGGGGUAAAGGCCUACCAAGGCGACGAUCCGUAACUGGUCUGAGAGGAUGAUCAGUCACACUGGAACUGAGACACGGUCCAGACUCCUACGGGAGGCAGCAGUGGGGAAUAUUGGACAAUGGGCGAAAGCCUGAUCCAGCCAUGCCGCGUGUGUGAAGAAGGUCUUCGGAUUGUAAAGCACUUUAAGUUGGGAGGAAGGGCAGUAAGUCAAUACCUUGCUGUUUUGACGUUACCAACAGAAUAAGCACCGGCUAACUUCGU